UACGAAGGGGGCUAGCGUUGUUCGGAAUCACUGGGCGUAAAGCGCACGCAGGCGGAUCGAUAAGUCAGGGGUGAAAUCCCGGGGCUCAACCUCGGAAUUGCCUUUGAUACUGUCGAUCUCGAGUCCGGGAGAGGUGAGUGGAAUUCCUAGUGUAGAGGUGAAAUUCGUAGAUAUUAGGAAGAACACCAGUGGCGAAGGCGGCUCACUGGCCCGGUACUGACGCUCAGGUGCGAAAGCGUGGGGAGCAAACAGG
RNAcentral lists this ribosomal RNA (253 nucleotides) under uncultured bacterium. RNAcentral's name for it is "partial 16S ribosomal RNA". It matches the Rfam family "Bacterial small subunit ribosomal RNA", at positions 524 to 776 of the family's 1533-position model. The record is from RNAcentral.